This 419-nucleotide long non-coding RNA is filed under the name Physcomitrium patens. RNAcentral's name for it is "long non-coding RNA (PPAT_LNC001211)". The record is from RNAcentral. Lineage: Eukaryota; Viridiplantae; Streptophyta; Bryopsida; Funariales; Funariaceae.
GGAAAUUGCAACAACAAAAUCCUAACUCUAAUAGAAUACUAACUGAACUCUAAUUAGAUCAUAACAAUGUUAAGCAAGCUUUAAUCAAAUUCAAAGAAACUUCAAAGAAAUUACAAAGAAACAAUAAGAAAUCUUAAAGAAAUAUUAGAAUGAGUACAAAUAUAUCUCAAAUACAUCUCAAUUCAAUCUUAAUUUAAUCCUAGUUAAAAUCCUAUUGGACUUCAUUCAAACUUUAGGCCAAAAACUAAUUAAAUCUUAAAUCCUAAAUAAAUCCUAAUAAAAUCCUACAUCCUAAAUUAAACCCUAAUCAAAUCCUAAACUCUAAAUCAAACCCUAAUCAAAUCCUAAACCAAAUCCUAAAACCUAAAUCAAACCCUAGUAAUUCCUACAACAAAUUUAAACCUCAAUUACUAAUGAAU